Molecule: long non-coding RNA, 835 nt
Organism: Oxyura jamaicensis (ruddy duck)
Lineage: Eukaryota; Metazoa; Chordata; Aves; Anseriformes; Anatidae
Exons: 3
Source: RefSeq, a predicted model, not a curated record
AUCACCUGUCAGUUAUUACAUCCUAUAAAGGUACAGAACCCCCUCUUCAAUGUUAUCCUGUUUCUCAGUCACUGUGUCGAUUUCAGUGGUGAUUAUUUUGUGUAAUGUUAAAUUGCCCAUUUAGUGACAAGAAUUCAAAAAAAAAAUCUAGCAGUAACCAUGGCUUUUUGUGUAUGUGUUUUUUUCAUGCGUUAUCAACUUGUAUAGCUCAUUCCUUCAAUCUUCCUCCAGAAGUUGAAGAGUUCUGUCUCAAAUAGAAGACACUUUAGAAAGAAAUACCUUAGUACCAAGACAAGGUCCUGCAUUUUAAUCUUUGCAAAGGACUAACCUUGUGUUUGUCAGGGUAGUUUCUUUGCUCACACAGAAGAUCCAGAUCAACUCAUGUCCUGGCUGACUGACCUGCCUUAUGAAGAUCAGCCUUGUAAGCAACCAGAUCAGUCAAAAUAACAUUGGAGUCAACGACUGGGUGAUCACUAUGGGAGGUUGGUUUCAGACGAACAUGCUGACUUGAGCAUGCAGUGUUGCAGAACACAGGGAAAUCCAACAUUAUUUUGGAGCAGAAGGAUGGACGGUUGAACAACUUUUCAGUCUUUGGAGUGCCACUGAUAACUGAAGUCAUCCAACUAAUUAUCUGAGUAGAGAAAAAUGUGUUACAUCUCCAUGGUAAACAUCAUCAAGAUACCCUGUGGAAAAAUCCAGAUGAAAAAAUAAAUGUUGAGUCCCUGUUGUAAUUUGUUAUUGCUAAUAACAGUAAUAUUCUGCUCUUUACCAAAAGCCUGAGGGGUGACUUUUCUAGUAAGCCUGUAGCACAAUAGUUGAAUGUAUUUGUCUUCGA